GACGAACGCUGGCGGCGUGCUUAACACAUGCAAGUCGAACGGAAAGGCCUGCUUUCCCUUGUGGAUUGCGGGUACUCGAGUGGCUAACGGGUGAGUAACACGUGAGUGAUCUGCCCCCAACUUGGGUAUAAGCCUGGGAAACUGGGUCUAAUUCCCGAUAGGACUGCAGGGUGGUGCCUGUGGUGGAAAACGAUUUUCUAGUGGUUGGGGAUGAGCUCGCGGCCUAUCAGCGUGUUGGUGGGGUAAUGGCCUACCAAGGCGGCGACGGGUAGCCGGCCUGAGAGCGCGGACGGCCACAUUGGGACUGAGACCCGGGCCAGAGUCCUGCGGCAGGCAGCAGUGGGGAAUAGGGAACAAUGUGCGGAAGCCGGAAGCAGCGACGCCGGGGGGGGGAUGACGGCCUUCGGGUCGUAAUCUCCUUGCGACGGCGAGGAAGCCGCCUGGUUGGAAGGGUGGUGACGGUAGUGGGAGAAGAAGCACCGGCUAACUACGUG
Molecule: ribosomal RNA, 494 nt
Filed under: uncultured bacterium
Lineage: Bacteria
Description: partial 16S ribosomal RNA
Rfam family: Bacterial small subunit ribosomal RNA
Source: RNAcentral